Molecule: long non-coding RNA, 284 nt
Filed under: Capsella rubella
Lineage: Eukaryota; Viridiplantae; Streptophyta; Magnoliopsida; Brassicales; Brassicaceae
Description: long non-coding RNA (CRUB_LNC002265)
Source: RNAcentral
GGUGUUAGAGCUGCGGCGAAGGAACGAGAACCAGAGCUUGUACUUCGAUUCGGUUCACGGUGGUUCCCGCAUAUAUGAAACUCAGACUCUGUAAAUUCUCAAUACAUGGCUCCAUUUUCCGAUCCACUCAGAGUGACGACGAGAGAGAAGAAGAGAGAAAGAGAGAGAAGUACUUUUGAGAUUUUGCCUUUUGUGUUUAAUCUUCUACCCAUCGCUCUUUUACCGAAUCAAUAAUCUUGGCUUCCACUUAUAAGGCUCUGGGUAAGAAAUUUGUGAGAAAAGCU